GUGCUCACUUCAGUAGCACAUACACUAAAAUUGGAACAAUGCACAGACUGAUUAGCAUGGCCUCUGUGCAAGGAUGAUGCACACAUUCGUGAAGCAGUCAUUAAAUUUUU
Molecule: non-coding RNA, 110 nt
Organism: Gorilla gorilla gorilla (western lowland gorilla)
Lineage: Eukaryota; Metazoa; Chordata; Mammalia; Primates; Hominidae
Source: Rfam